Long non-coding RNA from Olea europaea var. sylvestris, 362 nucleotides. RefSeq lists it as uncharacterized. Lineage: Eukaryota; Viridiplantae; Streptophyta; Magnoliopsida; Lamiales; Oleaceae. The transcript has 2 exons. The record is from RefSeq and is a predicted model, not a curated record.
AUGGAAAAAUGACUUUGAGAGGAAAGAUAAGCAAAGCAAAGCUUCGACGAAAGCACGGGGUUUUUUCAACUCAGAAGACUUCAAAAUGACACAGAUAUGAACCAUCGAAACAAUGCACAACUCACUGAGGACUCCGAUUGACUGAUGCCCUUUCAAGAGCCUGCAUUUCAAAACUGGAUAUGGCGCUUUAUUCGUGAGGAGCUGGCUAAAAAUGCGUUGGGGGUUCGUGUUUUUCAGUGCCGAAGACUGAUUAGAUAGUGGAUGUUUAUUUCUUGCUUCAUUCUUUUGUACCAUUCAUAAUUUUCCUUUCCCUUUCUAUUUGUAAAGACCUUUGAAGUUUUGAUUGGACUAUCAAUUUUGCU